This 1397-nucleotide ribosomal RNA is filed under the name uncultured bacterium. RNAcentral describes it as "16S ribosomal RNA". It matches the Rfam family "Bacterial small subunit ribosomal RNA". The record is from RNAcentral.
GAGUUUGAUCCUGGCUCAGGAUGAACGCCAGCUACAGGCUUAACACAUGCAAGUCGAGGGGCAACAUCGCGAUAGCUUGCUAUUGCGGAUGGCGACCGGCGCACGGGUGAGUAACGCGUAUCCAACCUUCCCGCGACUGGGGAAUAACCUUGCGAAAGUAAGACUAAUACCCCAUGGUCUCCACGGAUGGCAUCUGAAAUGGAGUAAAGGUUUCGGCCGGUUGCGGAUGGGGAUGCGUCCGAUUAGCUUGACGGCGGGGUAACGGCCCACCGUGGCAUCGAUCGGUAGGGGUUCUGAGAGGAAGGUCCCCCACAUUGGAACUGAGACACGGUCCAAACUCCUACGGGAGGCAGCAGUGAGGAAUAUUGGUCAAUGGGCGGAAGCCUGAACCAGCCAAGUAGCGUGAAGGACGACUGCCCUAUGGGUUGUAAACUUCUUUUAUGCGGGGAUAAAGUUCGCCACGUGUGGCGUUUUGCAGGUACCGCAUGAAUAAGGACCGGCUAAUUCCGUGCCAGCAGCCGCGGUAAUACGGAAGGUCAGGCGUUAUCCGGAUUCAUUGGGUUUAAAGGGAGCGUAGGCCGCCUUUUAAGCGUGUUGUGAAAUGUAGGGGCUCAACCCCUGCACUGCAGCGCGAACUGGAGGGCUUGAGUACACACAAAGUANGCGGAAUNCAUGGUGUAGCGGUGAAAUGCUUAGAUAUCAUGAAGAACCCCGAUGGCGAAGGCAGCUUACUGGAGUGUAACUGACGCUGAAGCUCGAAAGCGCGGUAUCGGAACAGGAUUAGAUACGCUGGUAGUCCGCGCGGUAAACGAUGGAUGCCCGCUGUUGGCCACUUUGGUAAGCGGCCAAGCGAAAGCGUUAAGCAUCCCACGUGGGGAGUACGCCGGCAACGGUGAAACUCAAAGGAAUUGACGGGGGCCCGCACAAGCGGAGGAACAUGUGGUUUAAUUCGAUGAUACGCGAGGAACCUUACCCGGGCUUGAAUUGCAGGAGAACGAUCCAGAGAUGGUGAGGCCCUUCGGGGCUCCUGUGAAGGUGCUGCAUGGUUGUCGUCAGCUCGUGCCGUGAGGUGUCGGCUUAAGUGCCAUAACGAGCGCAACCCCUCUCCGUAGUUGCCAUCGGGUGAAGCCGGGCACUCUGCGGAUACUGCCACCGUAAGGUGUGAGGAAGGUGGGGAUGACGUCAAAUCAGCACGGCCCUUACGUCCGGGGCUACACACGUGUUACAAUGGGGCAUACAGAAAGCAGGCGGCCGGCAACGUCCGUCUAAUCAUCAAAGCGUCCCUCAGUUCGGACUGGGGUCUGCAACCCGACCCCACGAAGCUGGAUUCGCUAGUAAUCGCGCAUCAGCCAUGGCGCGGUGAAUACGUUCCCGGGGCUUGUACACACCGCCCGUCA